GAUGCUACGUCCAUCUUUUGCAUACAGUCUAUCAUCUAAACAGAGAGGCAAGUGACCUGCAACAGUCAUCAGUGUUUCAGGAGCUUUUUAAAGGCGACGUAUUACACAUAAGAGCCAGAUAAAAUGAGCUGUUAUGAAGAGUGUUUAAGAGAAUUUCUGCUCUGCACUGGUCUAAUUGCAGCUUUGACCAAAGUCAACAAUCAUUGUCUUACCACUUUGUUCAAUCAUCAUCAUUACAUUCAUGAACCAGGCUUAUAGCAGCUGGUAUUCUUGUUCAUCUAAAUACAACAAAACCCCCCAGAGAGAUAACAUAAACUGAUUAAUAUUACUAUCAAUUUCCCUUCAAGUCCAUCAUACAUAAUCAAAGCAAAUGUAACCCAUAUCAACUACUCCCUGUCACAUGACCCACGUCAGCUGAUUUGAGGUCCCUCUUCUGAUUGGCUCCUCCCACGUCGCGGCAACUCUGAAAACCGGCUGUGGAGGGAUACUUCCGGGUUCGACUCCUGCUGUGGCUGUGAGCUUAUGGCAUUUAGAACGGUGUUGGAAAACAAAGCGUUUUCUCCCCUCAAUUCAUCUUUAAACUUUAAACUCAGCGGUCAGGUUUUUUUUCCCUCUUUGAAUUGAUCUUCUUCAUAUUGAAGUGGCGAGCCGGUAGGACCAUUCUUUCUUUUCCCCCCACUUAGCCGUCUUUGGAUUACGGACAUAUUUCCCCCUUGUAUGAAGCUGGACCCUAAGGAGGAAUACCUUAAAAGUGAACUUUAAAAAGAAAAGGACCAAAAAAAGGACUCUUAGCAAAAGGACUCUUGCACAGAAAAAUCACAGCACUGAUUUAUUAUUUAAUUGUGGACAUUUACGUUGUGUGUUGUGUUAAUUAUUUUGUUCCAUUUCCCCUUUCCCCUAUUUAUUCAAUACAUUUUUGGUACAAGA
Molecule: non-coding RNA, 927 nt
Organism: Maylandia zebra (zebra mbuna)
Lineage: Eukaryota; Metazoa; Chordata; Actinopteri; Cichliformes; Cichlidae
Source: RefSeq, a predicted model, not a curated record